This 403-nucleotide ribosomal RNA is filed under the name uncultured bacterium. RNAcentral describes it as "partial 16S ribosomal RNA". It matches the Rfam family "Bacterial small subunit ribosomal RNA", at positions 28 to 526 of the family's 1533-position model. The record is from RNAcentral.
GACGAACGCUGGCGGCGUGCCUAAUACAUGCAAGUCGAACGCAGUGGGUACGGGGGAGUAACACGUGGGUAACCUCCCAUCAGAGGGGAUAACACUUGGAAACAGGUGCUAAACCGAUACUGAUGGAUGGACCCGGUGUGCAUUAGCUAGUUGGUGAGGUAACGGCGCACCAGGGCCACGAUGCAUAGCGGACCUGGUGGGGUGAUCGGCCACCCGGGGACUGGGAAACGGCCAAGACUCCUACGGGAGGAAGAAGUAGGAAAGUUUCGGCAAUGGAGGAAAGUCUGACCGAGCAACGCGGCGGGAGUGAAGAAGGUUUUCGGAUGGUAAAACUCUGUUGUUAGAGAAGCGGUAUCUAACCAGAAAGCCACGGCUAACUACGUGCCAGCAGCCGCGGUAAUUC